This 2245-nucleotide ribosomal RNA is filed under the name gut metagenome. Its description in RNAcentral is "bacterial LSU rRNA". It matches the Rfam family "Bacterial large subunit ribosomal RNA", at positions 449 to 2698 of the family's 2925-position model. The record is from RNAcentral.
GGGACCAUCCUCCAAGGCUAAAUACUCGUAAUCGACCGAUAGCGAACCAGUACUGUGAAGGAAAGGCGAAAAGAACCCCGGGAGGGGAGUGAAAUAGAUCCUGAAACCGCAUACAUACAAACAGUAGGAGCCCGCAAGGGUGACUGCGUACCUUUUGCAUAAUGGGUCAGCGACUUACGUUCAAUGGCAAGCUUAACCGAGUAGGGGAGGCGCAGCGAAAGCGAGUCCGAACAGGGCGAUAUGAGUCGUUGGGCGUAGACCCGAAACCAGAUGAUCUAUCCAUGGCCAGGCUGAAGGUGUGGUAACACACACUGGAGGGCCGAACCGACUAGUGUUGCAAAAUUAGCGGAUGAGCUGUGGAUAGGGGUGAAAGGCUAAACAAAUCUGGAGAUAGCUGGUUCUCCCCGAAAACUAUUGAGGUAGUGCCUCGUGUAUGGCUCCAGGGGGUAGAGCACUGUUAUGGCUAGGGGGACAUGGCGUCUUACCAAACCAUGGCAAACUCCGAAUACUUGGAAGUCUGAGCACGGGAGACAGAGCACCGGGUGCUAACGUCCGGACUCAAAAGGGAAACAACCCAGACCGCCGGCUAAGGUCCCUAAUAUUGACUAAGUGGAAAACGAAGUGGGAAGGCUAAGACAGUCAGGAAGUUGGCUUAGAAGCAGCCAUCCUUCAAAGAAAGCGUAAUAGCUCACUGAUCGAGUCUUCCUGCGCGGAAGAUGUAACGGGGCUAAGUCAAUAACCGAAGCCGCGGAUUCGCAGCAAUGCGAGUGGUAGGGGAGCGUUCUGUAAGCCUGCGAAGGCGGAUCCGCGAGGACCGCUGGAGGUAUCAGAAGUGCGAAUGCUGACAUGAGUAACGUUAAAGCGGGUGAAAAGCCCGCUCGCCGCAAGCCCAAGGUUUCCUGCUCUACGUUCAUCGGAGCAGGGUGAGUCGGCCCCUAAGGUCAGGCUGAGAAGCGUAGCUGAUGGGAAGCUGGUUAAUAUUCCAGCACCGAUUUCAAGUGCGAAGGGGGGACGGAGUCCUGAAGGUCAUCCGGGUGUUGGACAUCCCGGUUUACGAGCGUAGGAGGUUGACAGGCAAAUCCGUCAACGGAUCUCCAAGGCGAAGGAUCGAGGUUGAGAGAUCAACUGAAGUGACUGAAUGGGCUUCCAGGAAAAGCCUCUAAGCAUCAGCUUGGAAUUGACCGUACCGCAAACCGACACUGGUGGGCGAGCUGAAUAUGCUCAGGCGCUUGAGAGAACUCAGGAGAAGGAACUCGGCAAAUUGACACCGUAACUUCGGGAUAAGGUGUGCCUUUGUAGUGUGAAGAGAGAAACACUCCGAGCAUGAAGAGGCCUCAGAGAAUCGGUGGCUGCAACUGUUUACUAAAAACACAGCACUCUGCAAAGAUGAAAGUCGACGUAUAGGGUGUGAUGCCUGCCCGGUGCUGGAAGAUUAAUUGAUGGGGUGCAAGCUCCUGAUCGAAGUCCCAGUAAACGGCGGCCGUAACUAUAACGGUCCUAAGGUAGCGAAAUUCCUUGUCGGGCAAGUUCCGACCUGCACGAAUGGCAUAAUGAUGGCCACACUGUCUCCUCCUGAGACUCAGUGAAGUUGAAAUGUUUGUGAUGAUGCAAUCUCCCCGCGGCUAGACGGAAAGACCCCAUGAACCUUUACUGCAGCUUUGCAUUGGACUUUGAACCGAUCUGUGUAGGAUAGGUGGGAGGCAGUGAAGCUAGGACGCCAGUCUUAGCGGAGCCAACCUUGAAAUACCACCCUGAUUUGUUUGAGGUUCUAACCUAGGAGCGUAAUCCGCUUCGGGGACCGUGCAUGGUAGGCAGUUUGACUGGGGCGGUCUCCUCCUAAAGGGUAACGGAGGAGUGCGAAGGUACGCUAGGUACGGUCGGAAAUCGUGCUGAUAGUGCAAUGGCAAAAGCGUGCUUGACUGCGAGACCGACAAGUCGAGCAGAUACGAAAGUAGGUCAUAGUGAUCCGGUGGCUCUGCAUGGAAGGGCCAUCGCUCAACGGAUAAAAGGUACUCUGGGGAUAACAGGCUGAUACCGCCCAAGAGUUCAUAUCGACGGCGGUGUUUGGCACCUCGAUGUCGGCUCAUCUCAUCCUGGGGCUGUAGCCGGUCCCAAGGGUAUGGCUGUUCGCCAUUUAAAGAGGUACGUGAGCUGGGUUUAAAACGUCGUGAGACAGUUUUGUCCCUAUCUGCCGUGGGCGUUGGAAGAUUGACGGGGGCUGCUCCUAGUACGAGAGGACCGGAGU